RNAcentral lists this ribosomal RNA (206 nucleotides) under uncultured bacterium. Its description in RNAcentral is "partial 16S ribosomal RNA". It matches the Rfam family "Bacterial small subunit ribosomal RNA", at positions 568 to 774 of the family's 1533-position model. The record is from RNAcentral.
CGCGUAGGCGGCUUGUUAAGCUGGAUGUGAAAUCCCCGGGCUCAACCUGGGAACUGCACCCAGAACUGGCAGGCUAGAGUACGAUAGAGGUGAGUGGAAUUUCCUGUGUAGCGGUGAAAUGCGUAGAUAUAGGAAGGAACAUCAGUGGCGAAGGCGGCUCACUGGAUCGAUACUGACGCUGAGGUGCGAAAGCGUGGGAGCAAACA